This 253-nucleotide ribosomal RNA is filed under the name uncultured bacterium. RNAcentral describes it as "partial 16S ribosomal RNA". It matches the Rfam family "Bacterial small subunit ribosomal RNA", at positions 524 to 776 of the family's 1533-position model. The record is from RNAcentral.
UACGUAGGGGGCAAGCGUUGUCCGGAAUCAUUGGGCGUAAAGAGCGUGUAGGCGGCCCGAUAAGUCCGCUGUGAAAGUCCAGGGCUCAACCCUGGAAUGCCGGUGGAUACUGUCUGGCUAGAGUCCGGAAGAGGAGAAUGGAAUUCCUGGUGUAGCGGUGAAAUGCGCAGAUAUCAGGAAGAACACCCGUGGCGAAGGCGGUUCUCUGGGACGGUACUGACGCUGAGACGCGAAAGCGUGGGGAGCGAACAGG